AGGGAGGUAGCAAAAUGGCUGAAUGCAACGGAUUCCAAAUCCGUCGGGGAAACCCCAUUGCAGGUUCGAGUCCUGUCCUCCCUGCCA
Molecule: transfer RNA, 87 nt
Filed under: Erwinia phage pEp_SNUABM_01
Lineage: Duplodnaviria; Heunggongvirae; Uroviricota; Caudoviricetes
Also listed under: 3 other names
Description: tRNA-Trp
Rfam family: tRNA
About the family: Transfer RNA (tRNA) molecules are approximately 80 nucleotides in length. Their secondary structure includes four short double-helical elements and three loops (D, anti-codon, and T loops). Further hydrogen bonds mediate the characteristic L-shaped molecular structure. tRNAs have two regions of fundamental functional importance: the anti-codon, which is responsible for specific mRNA codon recognition, and the 3' end, to which the tRNAs corresponding amino acid is attached (by aminoacyl-tRNA synthetases). tRNAs cope with the degeneracy of the genetic code in two manners: having more than one tRNA (with a specific anti-codon) for a particular amino acid; and 'wobble' base-pairing, i.e. permitting non-standard base-pairing at the 3rd anti-codon position.
Source: RNAcentral